AAAAAUUCGAGGCUACCGCCCCAUUCGCACCCUCUGUCUACCAAACUUUGUUGCUUCGGUUGGCGCUUGCGCCGGCCAGAGGCCCCCAAACUCUUGAAUAUCAGUGUCUGAGUCGUUAAAUAAAUUAUUUAAAACUUUCAACAACGGAUCUCUUGGUUAGACCAUCGAUGAAGAACGCAGCGAAAUGCGAUAAGUAAUGUGAAUUGCAGAAUUCAGUGAAUCAUCGAAUCUUUGAACGCACAUUGCGCUUCCUGGUAUUCCGGGAAGCAUGCCUGUUCGAGCGUCAUUACAACCCUCACGCCCCGCGUGGUCUUGGGCUGGCCCAGCAGGGCCGGCCUCAAAAGCAGUGGCGGUUCCGUGCGACCCCUAAGCGUAGUAGAACUUCAAAUCGCUUCUGGUGGCCGGGCGGCAGCCUGCUAAGCACCCCCACACUUCAAAGGUUGACCUCGGAUCAGGUAGGGAUACCCGCUGAACUUAAGCAUAUCAAUAAGCGGAGGAA
RNAcentral lists this ribosomal RNA (499 nucleotides) under Bifusella camelliae. RNAcentral describes it as "eukaryotic LSU rRNA". The stretch from base 133 to 286 matches the Rfam family "5.8S ribosomal RNA". The record is from RNAcentral. Lineage: Eukaryota; Fungi; Ascomycota; Leotiomycetes; Rhytismatales; Rhytismataceae.